UACGAAGGGGGCUAGCGUUGUUCGGAUUUACUGGGCGUAAAGAGCUCGUAGGCGGUUUGUCACGUCUGCUGUGAAAUCCCGAGGCUCAACCUCGGGCCUGCAGUGGGUACGGGCAGACUGGAGUGCGGUAGGGGAGAAUGGAAUUCCUGGUGUAGCGGUGGAAUGCGCAGAUAUCAGGAGGAACACCGGUGGCGAAGGCGGGUCUCUGGGCCGAUACUGACGCUGAGGAGCGAAAGCGUGGGGAGCGAACAGG
RNAcentral lists this ribosomal RNA (253 nucleotides) under uncultured bacterium. Its description in RNAcentral is "partial 16S ribosomal RNA". It matches the Rfam family "Bacterial small subunit ribosomal RNA", at positions 524 to 776 of the family's 1533-position model. The record is from RNAcentral.